GAUAUUCUUGUUUCCGGGUUUAUUUGUCUGUUUAUUCCUUUAACUUCCUGCGAUAUUCCUAUUUAUUUUGCUCCCUAGUUUCGUUUUAUUGUGCUAUUGACUUUAUUAAAACCUCUCUGUUUCUCUUGUUGUUAGAUUUCUCCCUCCUGGUCCAGGGCCAAACCUUCCUAACAGUCCGUUAAGUCCUGGAUGUCUUGACGCUGUUCCCUCCUAUUGAUAUCCACCUUAUUUUUCUUUCUCUGAUUAUUGCACUAUUGGUUAUUGGUUAUUACCCCUGUCUCUAGGUUGUUAUAAUUGUUCUCUCUUAUUGAGUAUCUGCUUACUUCAAAUGUUUUUACUUGUAUGUUUCUCUGUACUGUAUAUUCUUCUACCUUGCAGCACAGUAUGUAAUGUUUAAUGGUCUUACUGGUCAAUCGCUGAUAUCGUCAUGACAUUUAUUACCAUUUUAUUUACUAAUGUUCAUGUAUUUUUAAUUUAUCCUGUUCAAACUUCUAGUAUUAUAUUACUUCAAUGGUUAUUCAUGUACCAUUCACUCAUCUCUCCUUUAGUGUGGGACUGGGUGCGUCCUCCCUACCAGGUCACAGUCAAGUGACGGUCCGGGAGAAG
Molecule: long non-coding RNA, 606 nt
Organism: Oncorhynchus tshawytscha (Chinook salmon)
Lineage: Eukaryota; Metazoa; Chordata; Actinopteri; Salmoniformes; Salmonidae
Source: Ensembl